CUGGUAGCGCUGCUCCUCGUCAGCGUCGGGCGCGAAGAGCAGCAGCUGCGCCAGGUGCGCGGGCUCCAGGCGCCGGGGCUCCAUGCUCAUGAGCACCUGCCGCAGCUCCGCGGGGCUCAGCUUCAGGGCUCAGGAAAUCAUCCACAGCAGUGACCCGGGGACCCAGCUGCUCACUCAGCACGUCCAGGAAGCGCUGCUGUUCAGUCGGGACUCAAGCUCUGCAUAGACGGCCGACAUCUUCAGGGAGAGGAGGCCAGGGUGGGAAAACUGAGCCCUGCUGGCAUCCUCACACCCAGUCCCGCCUUUUGGUCCAGAGCCUUACCGCAACUGAGGCUGGCCUCCAGACCUUGGGACCGGAGGCUGCGGCGGCACAUGGAGGAGGCCCUCAGGGAACUCCGCCGCUGGAGUUCCGGCACCGGCUCAGGCUCAGGCUCAGGCUCAGGCUCAGGCUCAGGCUCCAGGUCCAGCUCAGGCUCCGGCUCUGCUGUGCAACAUGAACAGGAGAUGGGCCCCUUGUGUUCUCAGCCAGUCAAAUGGCCUCCAAAUACAGGAGUGAAGGCAGCAGUUGUCUGCACCAAUCUGUGACCCCAGGCCCUGCUUCGCAUGUGGGGUAAGAUGCAAGAUUCCAGGUCUAGGCAGACAUAUGGAACAUUGCUACCCAGACUAUGUUCUGAGCCUCUUGCUAAAACCCUCGAGCCUCCUCCAGCAAAUUGUGGGUCCCCAGGACUAGGGACAGUGGACACACAAGGGCCAGAAUGUAGGAUAUCUGCAAGCUUUACCAUAGCAGGUGUAGAGUGCCUAGAACAAAUGCACAGUGUUUGGCACACUUUCGACUCCUGUGGCCUCAAUGAUAACAUGCAUGGUUGUAUGGGCACCUGGGGCCCACUGUAAGAGGUAUGAAGUAGUUGGAAACUGAGGCCGCAGAUGGUCUGGCAGGCCCUACUGUGUAUCUGUGUGCAUCAAGGCUCACCAAUCAGGUGUGACCUGGCUGUGUGCUUGCUAUCCAGCUCUGCAAACAGAAACCACAUGAAUUUCUUGAUCUGUGACAUAUUUCUUGGUGUGUGAUGUACAGCCACUGAGGUCACUUCCAUUCUGUGGGUGAGAAUCCUGGGGUUCCGGGUGGAUAGGUAGGGUGUCUAGAGUCCAAGGUAAUGUUGCAGUGCUACUUAAAGAUCAAACUGAAAAGGCACAUUUGUGGGGGCAAGUGUAGGACCAGCCUGGGUGCGGCCGGCAUGGGUCUGCAUGAUAUGGAGGUCCAUUUAUAUGUGGGAGAAGCCCAGGUCGGCUGUAAUCUGAGAACAGGUGUCUGGCUCUUCACCUGGUGGGCUGGAGAGGGGGAGAGGCUGCUUACCUGUCAUGGCUGUGUAGCCCAGGAAACAUGCAAUUUUCUCCUGGCAGAGCUCCUGCUCCUCGUAAGUCAGCAGCUGGUAGAUGAACUGCCAAAGGACUUGCUUGGCAGGUGUGUCCAGCACAGGGUAGACAUCCACAAUGAGGGUGUCAAUGUUCCUGGGGAAAGGUGCAGAAGCAAGGGGUUCAUUUCUCAGGGGCUCAAUGCAGGGGAGGGAGAGAGGGAUAUGGGGGCACUGCAGGCCAUGGAACCCACCCCGGCCAAAACAGAGAAGUGAGGAAAGGUAGGAAUGCAGGCCCUGGUGAUGGGCCACCCUGAUUCAAAUCCUGGCUCUGCCACUUACCAACCAAGUGACCUUUCUCAUACUUAAUUCCAUUGUGCCUCAGUUUCCUCCUCUGUAAAACAUGGAUAAAAAUAGCAUCUACCCCAUAGAGUCGCUGUAAGAUGAAAACACACACACACACACACACACACACAAAAAAAAAAAAAAGAAAAGAAAAGAAAAUACACAGUGCAUUGGGCAAGUGGAUUCAUUAUAUCAGGGAUUGGUAAAUGAUGGCCUGCAGCCUAAAAUCUGGCCCACCUUCUGUUUUUGUAAAGAAAGUUUUAUUGGAACACAGCCAUGACUGUGUAUUUAUCCAUUGUCUGUGGCUGUUUUCGAGCUACAAUGGCAGGGUUGAAUAGUUUCUGUGGAGACCAUAUGGCCCACAAACCCUAAAAUAUUUAACAUGUGGCCCUUUGUAGAAAUAGUUUGCUGAUCCUUGGACUAUAUGGGAAAAUAAAACUGGAUCCUCUCGUAACACCACACAUAAGGAUGAACUCUAGGUGGCUAAAAGACAACAUAUGAAGGGCAAAAUUGUAAAAUAAAUAGAAACAGUGCAGAAAAAUAUCUUUUGGCCAGGGGUGGGGGGUGGGGUGGAGAGAGAGUUCUUAAAAUUUCAAAAGUCAAAGCCAUAAGGCCCAAAAUGUACUGAAUUUGAUUUUACAAAAUCAAGGAUAUCUGUUCAAAGAAGCCCACUUUUGGCACAUUGAUAUUAGAUAUAAAAGAAAUAAUAACAAGAAAAGUGGAAGAUGUUUACAAUGUCUAAAAUCAACAAGCAACCAGUGUCUAAAAUAUACAAGGAACUCCUCCAAAUUAACAAGAACAAAAAGCCCGUAAAAUAAAAAUGCAUUAAGGGUCUAAAAAGGUAUUCUAUAGAUAAACAAAAAAAGCUAACAAGGCUAUUAAAAGAUAUUUAAAAUAGUAAUUUAAAAGCCCAAAAUAGUGGGAUACCUGGGUGGCUCAGUAGUUGAGCAUCUGCCUUUGGCUCAAGUCGUGAUCCCAGG
Long non-coding RNA from Canis lupus familiaris (dog), 2674 nucleotides. RefSeq lists it as uncharacterized. NCBI's taxonomy places the organism in Eukaryota, Metazoa, Chordata, Mammalia, Carnivora, Canidae. The transcript is spliced from 4 exons. The record is from RefSeq and is a predicted model, not a curated record.